RNAcentral lists this long non-coding RNA (1163 nucleotides) under Piliocolobus tephrosceles (Ugandan red Colobus). RNAcentral describes it as "lncRNA (ENSPTEG00000019069.1)". The record is from RNAcentral. Lineage: Eukaryota; Metazoa; Chordata; Mammalia; Primates; Cercopithecidae.
UACAUAUAUAAGUGUGCAUGCAUGUAUUGUUUUUAGAACGUUGUACAAGUUUUUAAAUACGUACGUACAUACAUACAUAUAUACAUACGCGAACUUACAGAUUCCAACACAUAUCUACUUCAUUUAUAAAUACCAAUUCAAACAAAACACAAAUUCGUUAUAACUAUAUAUUAGUAUCUAAGUGUAAAAAAAAAAAAAAAAAAAAAAUGGCAAGAGGUAAUUCGUGUGAAAAGGUAAAAGACUGUCGUCAAUUGAUUGGUAAAAAAGCUAUUGAUAAAAAAUAUGAAUGCAGUAAGAAUGUUGGAGAAUGUCGUUUAAAAGAUAAUAUAAAUAGACUAAUGAUAAAUAGUUAUGUAAAAAAAAACGGAGUAAAUGAUAUAAAAAAUUUAAAUAGGAGAGGUAGUGAAAAUAAUAUACAAAGUAUAUAUAAUGAAAAUAUCUAUAAAGAAGACAACAUUAGCAAAGACGAUAAUAUAAAUAACAGUGACAACAAUAACUAUCACAUUAGUAAUACUAAUUACUAUCGCACUAGCUACAAUAAUGAAGAUAAUGACAAUGACUAUUAUAUGAACAAACGCCAUAAAAGCUUACACGAAACUCGAUCCACAAAAGACUAUACAUACUCAGCAUAUUUUAAUAACAAUAAAAACAACAAAGGCAGUAAUAAAUAUACACAAUAUAACAUCAUAACUAGUAUAAGUAAGCAGUUGAAUUAUCAUAUAAGCAAAGGCCCAGGUAAUGAAUCGGUAAAAAAAUUAAUUACACAAGUGAGUUAUUGUCGUUUUUUUACUUUACUAAAAAAUAUCUUAACAUAUCUACCUUUUUCUAUUAACGACUAUUUAGUCGGAACACUCGAAAUAAAAGAAAUAAUUGAUAAUAAAGAUAACUUAUGUUUUAAAUUAUACACAAAAGAAGAAUUAAUGAAAUAUGUGUAUAAUAAUGAGAGAAAUACAUUAGUAAAUAAUAAAGUAUAUAAUUUGUUUGCAAAAUAUAAAUUAUUGAAAAAUAAAAAAGAAUGUAUCAAUCAUUCACAUCUUUCUAAUGAGACUCACAUGAACAACAACAAUAAGAAUAAUAAUGAUAACAAGAAUAAUAAUAAUGACAAGAAUCAUAAUUAUGACAAUACUGAUAAUGAUAUGAAAAAUAUUAACUUGGAAAGCAUA